GGGGUCUUUGGGGUGGCAAUGGGGGGCUGCGGGAUUUGGGGCGGCAUUGGGGGUUUUUGGAAUGGCAUUGGGGGGCUGUGGGGAUUUGGGGCAGCAUUGGGGUCUUUGGGGACCUUCUGCCACCACUGGGGUCUUUGGGGCUCUUUGUUGGCCAUCAUUGGGGUCUUUGUUGGUCCUUAUUGGGGUCCUUGGGGUCUUUGGGGACCUUCCACCAUCAAUGGGGUCUGUGGGGCUCUUUGCUGGCCAUCUUUGGGGUCUUUGUUGGCCAUCAUUGAGGUCUUUGUUGGCCAUCAUUGGGGUCUGUAGGAACCUGGGGUGUCAUUGGGGUUUUUGGGAACCUUCCACCACUGUUGGGGUCUUUAGGGCUCUUUUUGGCCAUCAUUGGGGCCUUUGGGGCUUUGUUGGCCGUUUUUGGGGUUUUUGUUGGCCAUCGUUGGGCUCUUUGUGCCCCCCCAUAAUUGCACCCCAAACGGCCGCCCCACAGCGAUGGGGUCAGACAGACGGACAGACAGACAGACUGGGGACGGACAGACGGCCCCAAAUCCGGCAUCCCCCCCCCCGCCCCCAAUGGCCGACCACCCCGCCGGGCGGCUCGUUAAUCCCCGCUAAUUACGCCGCCAGCCGCCGUCUGGCCAGCAGCAAUUAACGCCCGCAGCGUUAAUUAAAGGCUAACGAGGGGCAGGGGGUGGGGCUGAGCCAAAACCCCAAAGAAUUGACCCAAAAUGGGGUAAAAACGGGGCGUCGGGAGGAUGGGGGGGGGGGGGGAAAUGGGGCAGGGGAGGGAAAAGUGGGGCGAAACCCCAAAGGUUUUGGGGUCGGGAUGGAAAACGGUGACAAAAAAACGAAGAUUUUGACCCAAAAUGGGAAACGGUGACCAAAAAGGGGCGAAACCCCAAAGGUUUUGGGGUCGGGAUGGAGGGUGGCGACCAAAAUGGGGGCGGCGACCCCCAAGCUGGGCCAAAAUCCUGGGUGUUUCGCCCCCUUUUGGCCACAUUCCCCA
This 1000-nucleotide long non-coding RNA is filed under the name Phasianus colchicus (ring-necked pheasant). RNAcentral describes it as "lncRNA (ENSPCLG00000013410.1)". Lineage: Eukaryota; Metazoa; Chordata; Aves; Galliformes; Phasianidae. The record is from RNAcentral.